RNAcentral lists this long non-coding RNA (368 nucleotides) under Nicotiana benthamiana. RNAcentral's name for it is "long non-coding RNA (NBEN_LNC011320)". The record is from RNAcentral. Lineage: Eukaryota; Viridiplantae; Streptophyta; Magnoliopsida; Solanales; Solanaceae.
GGUUUUCGCAUCCCGAUGAGAAGCAACCUCCUGUGGAGUUUAUUGCCUUCUCCAAUUGCUUCCAUGGAAGGACCAUGGGUGCUGUUGCUUUGACAAGCAAAGAGCACUACAGGUCACCUUUUGAACCUGUAAUGCCUGGAGUUACCUUCCUGGAGUAUGGCGAUAUUCAAGCAGCCACAGAGUUAAUUCAGAGUGGUAAAAUAGCUGCUGUGUUUGUUGAAGGGGUUACCUUCCUGGAGUAUGGCAGUAUUCAAGCGGCCACAGAGCUAAUUCAGAGUGGUAAAAUAGCUGCUGUGUUUGUUGAACCAAUCCAAGGUGAAGGUGGAAUAUACAGUGCAACAAAAGAAUUCUUACAAGCUCUGCGAACU